AUUGAACGCUGGCGGCAGGCUUAACACAUGCAAGUCGGACGGUAGCAGGAGAAAGCUUGCUUUCUUGCUGACGAGUGGCGGACGGGUGAGUAAUGCUUGGGGAUCUGUCUUAUGGAGGGGGAUAACGACGGGAAACUGUCGCUAAUACCGCGUAGAGUCGGGAGACGAAAGUGCGGGACCUUAGGGCCGCAUGCCAUGAGAUGAGCCCAAGUGUGAUUAGGUAGUUGGUGGGGUAAAGGCCUACCAAGCCGACGAUCGCUAGCUGGUCUGAGAGGAUGGCCAGCCACACCGGGACUGAGACACGGCCCGGACUCCUACGGGAGGCAGCAGUGGGGAAUAUUGCGCAAUGGGGGCAACCCUGACGCAGCCAUGCCGCGUGAAUGAAGAAGGCCUUCGGGUUGUAAAGUUCUUUCGGUGAUGAGGAAGGUUGGUGUGUUAAUAGCAUGCCAACUUGACGUUAAAUACAGAAGAAGCAC
This 476-nucleotide ribosomal RNA is filed under the name Aggregatibacter actinomycetemcomitans. Its description in RNAcentral is "bacterial SSU rRNA". It matches the Rfam family "Bacterial small subunit ribosomal RNA", at positions 30 to 493 of the family's 1533-position model. Lineage: Bacteria; Pseudomonadati; Pseudomonadota; Gammaproteobacteria; Pasteurellales; Pasteurellaceae. The record is from RNAcentral.